UAUAAUGUCAACUUGGGUCUCUCCUGAAU
Molecule: non-coding RNA, 29 nt
Filed under: Mus musculus (house mouse)
Lineage: Eukaryota; Metazoa; Chordata; Mammalia; Rodentia; Muridae
Source: RNAcentral